This 1970-nucleotide ribosomal RNA is filed under the name human gut metagenome. RNAcentral describes it as "bacterial LSU rRNA". It matches the Rfam family "Bacterial large subunit ribosomal RNA", at positions 1 to 1985 of the family's 2925-position model. The record is from RNAcentral.
UUAAGUGAAUAAGGGCGCACGGUGGAUGCCUUGGCACUAGGAGCCGAUGAAGGACGGGACUAACACCGAUAUGCUUUGGGGAGCUGUAAGUAAGCUAUGAUCCAGAGAUUUCCGAAUGGGGGAACCCAAUAUCUUUUAUAGGAUAUUACUUUUCAGUGAAUACAUAGCUGAUUAGAGGUAGACGCAGAGAACUGAAACAUCUUAGUACCUGCAGGAAGAGAAAGAAAAUUCGAUUCCCUGAGUAGCGGCGAGCGAAACGGGAAGAGCCCAAACCAACAAGCUUGCUUGUUGGGGUUGUAGGACUCCAAUAUGGUAGUCUGUUAGUAUAGUUGAAGGAUUUGGAAAAUUCCGCUAAAGAGGGUGAAAGCCCCGUAGACGAAAUGCUAACAACACCUAGGAGGAUCCUGAGUACGGCGGAACACGAGAAAUUCCGUCGGAAUCCGCGGGGACCAUCCCGCAAGGCUAAAUACUCCCUAGUGACCGAUAGUGAACCAGUACCGUGAGGGAAAGGUGAAAAGCACCCCGGAAGGGGAGUGAAAUAGAUCCUGAAACCGUGUGCCUACAACAAGUCAAAGCUCGUUAAUGAGUGAUGGCGUGCCUUUUGUAGAAUGAACCGGCGAGUUACGAUUGCAUGCGAGGUUAAGUCGAAGAGACGGAGCCGCAGCGAAAGCGAGUCUGAAUAGGGCGAAUGAGUAUGUAGUCGUAGACCCGAAACCAUGUGAUCUACCCAUGUCCAGGUUGAAGGUGCGGUAAAACGCACUGGAGGACCGAACCCACGUACGUUGAAAAGUGCGGGGAUGAGGUGUGGGUAGCGGAGAAAUUCCAAACGAACUUGGAGAUAGCUGGUUCUCUCCGAAAUAGCUUUAGGGCUAGCGUCGAUGUUAAGUCUCUUGGAGGUAGAGCACUGUUUGGGUGAGGGGUCCAUCCCGGAUUACCAAUCUCAGAUAAACUCCGAAUGCCAACGAGAUAUAAUCGGCAGUCAGACUGCGAGUGCUAAGAUCCGUAGUCGAAAGGGAAACAGCCCAGACCACCAGCUAAGGUCCCAAAAUAUAUGUUAAGUGGAAAAGGAUGUGGGGUUGCACAGACAACUAGGAUGUUGGCUUAGAAGCAGCCACCAUUUAAAGAGUGCGUAAUAGCUCACUAGUCGAGUGACCCUGCGCCGAAAAUGUACCGGGGCUAAACAUAUUACCGAAGCUGUGGACUACACCAUUAGGUGUAGUGGUAGGAGAGCGUUCUAAGGGCGUUGAAGGUCGAUCGUGAGGACGGCUGGAGCGCUUAGAAGUGAGAAUGCCGGUAUGAGUAGCGAAAGACAGGUGAGAAUCCUGUCCACCGUAUGACUAAGGUUUCCUGGGGAAGGCUCGUCCGCCCAGGGUUAGUCGGGACCUAAGCCGAGGCCGAUAGGCGUAGGCGAUGGACAACAGGUUGAUAUUCCUGUACCAGUUGUUUUUGUUUGAGCAAUGGAGGGACGCAGUAGGCUAAGGAAUGCAUGCGAUUGGAAGUGCAUGUCCAAGCAAUGAGUCUUGAGUAGAGUUAAAUGCUUUACUCUUUAAGGACAAGUUGUGACGGGGAGCGAAAUAAUAGUAGCGAAGUUCCUGAUGUCACACUGCCAAGAAAAGCUUCUAGUGAGAAAAUAACUGCCCGUACCGUAAACCGACACAGGUAGUCGAGGAGAGUAUCCUAAGGUGAGCGAGCGAACUCUCGUUAAGGAACUCGGCAAAAUGACCCCGUAACUUCGGGAGAAGGGGUGCUGACGACCGUCAGCCGCAGUGAAUAGGCCCAAGCGACUGUUUAUCAAAAACACAGGUCUCUGCAAAAUCGUAAGAUGAAGUAUAGGGGCUGACGCCUGCCCGGUGCUGGAAGGUUAAGAGGAUGGGUUAGCUUCGGCGAAGCUCAGAAUUGAAGCCCCAGUAAACGGCGGCCGUAACUAUAACGGUCCUAAGGUAGCGAAAUUCCUUGUCGGGUAAGUUCCG